CAAGAGACAGUGGCCCAUCGAAUCCAUUCAUCCCAGCCUUUUGUCAUUCUUGGAAUGUCGCAUCUGUCACAAACAUCCCACUAGAUCGCUUUAGUAUAGGAGCAUUCAAAGAACAAGUGGUUGUGAUCCUCAUUGUUGCGGAGACAGAGUGAGCAUCUAUUGGGACCAUGUAUACCAAACCGAUGAAGUUUAUCUUGAGUUGUGAGUUU
RNAcentral lists this long non-coding RNA (209 nucleotides) under Populus trichocarpa (black cottonwood). RNAcentral's name for it is "long non-coding RNA (PTRI_LNC004186)". Lineage: Eukaryota; Viridiplantae; Streptophyta; Magnoliopsida; Malpighiales; Salicaceae. The record is from RNAcentral.